Molecule: long non-coding RNA, 1881 nt
Organism: Cervus elaphus (red deer)
Lineage: Eukaryota; Metazoa; Chordata; Mammalia; Artiodactyla; Cervidae
Exons: 3
Source: RefSeq, a predicted model, not a curated record
CUCCAGCCUCCUGGCCUCCAGGCCUCCGGGCCCCUGGUCUCUGGUCCUUUGGCCCCCAGCCCCCCUGGCCUCCGGGCCCCCAGCCUCCGAGCCCCCAGCGUACUGUCCACAGCACCUUCAGAACUCCCCCAAGCCUGCCCGCUGCUCAAUGCCUAUGGCCAGCCCACAGUGGCUCAGAGCCCUGCCCUACCUUCACCGGCCUGCCUGCUCCUGUGGGCCCCCCUCUGAGAGGAUGGGCCCCGGCCCCUCCCUGAGCUCCUCGGUGCCUGCCCUGGGGACCUCCGUCUGCAUCCCCUCUGCUUCCUGAGGCUCCGGGCAGGUCUGCCGUCCCCGUGGGAACGUCUUUCCACGAGUGAAGGGCUCCACAAAGGACCCGAAACUGCCUGACGCACAGAUCCCCCGGGAGAUGCUGAUUGGAUGCAGGGACAACAGAUGGGCGGAUGUGUGGGUGCGGAGCUCUACCCUCAGCCUCCUGUCCCAGAGACAGCCACCAGACCAGCUCGGGGUGCUUGCGGCCCAGUCCACGCCAUUCCUUUCUCGGGGCUCCGGGCGAAGCCUUCAGGAAGAGUGGCCUCUGUGUGUUCCCGUAACACAGGACACUCCCAUCCCUGCUGGGACGAUGCGUGCCCCACGUGUCCUGUCAGCCCCUGGGGUUUGAGCCCCCGUCCUAAGAACUCACAGCAUUCCUCCUGAGAGGGGCUGCUCUGAGACCCACGGAGCCAUUCAAAGGGCAGAAGAACAGAGUGUUAUUGGGUGGACUCACGGAUUCUGCAGUGCCAUUGUUGGCUGUGGCUGGGUGCUGCCAGGAACAGAGGAAGGGAAGCAAGCCCCAGCAGAGGUGGGUGAGCCCUGGGGCACCUCGUGUGACGGGCAGCACUCAGGUGAGGAAUCUGGCUGCGGGGCUGUGUUUGUGGGCAUCUGCAGGAUGAAUGCAUCUCCAGGGUGGAUGGUCUGAGAACCGUGCCAGCCUCCCCAGUGAGCCUGGUCAGCAUCACCAUGUGGGGUGUGCACCGUCCCCUCCUGACCCCUCCCUGACCCCUCCGCGCCCAGCUGCCGGCCCCUCCCCUUGACCACUUCUCCACUGUUACCCCUUGGACUGUGGCCGUGAGUGGGUGGGCAACCUCUAACCGGGUGUGUGGUUUUAGGCAGGGCUGCAGCUUGCCCCGAUCCAAGGCUGCCAUCCACAGAGGGACACAGCGGCAAGACCAAGUGCACCCAGAGGGCUGUUUGCAUUUUGUGGGGACAUCUUGAGAAGUGUCCUCAGGACCCUGAUGACCGCCCUGGUCACAGCAGCCUUCAGACAGCCAUCAGCCACCCCCUCUACCCCGCCCCCCCCGGCCUGGGUCACCAGGGGGGUCUGCCUGCAGACACAUGACCUCAGAACGAAGCGCCCCAGAUGGGACGAGGCACAGAAUUGGAGUCUGGGAGUCCAAGGUCAAGCCCGACGGGGCUCGGUUCUGGUGACGAGUCCCCGCGUGGCCUGUCCCCAGAGCAGGCCAGAGCAGGAGGAGGGCUCUUCCUUCCUCUUCCUAUAAGGCGCUGAUCCCGUUGGAUCAGGACCCCACCCUAUGACUUCACGUCACCAUGACUGCCUCCUGACGACCCCUCACUGAGUGUCAUCAUGGCGGGCAGCUGGGGCUUCAGCACAGGAAUUUGAGGGGAAGGCGCAGGUCAGUCCAUGACACCCACGGCAGACCCACAACCACACGGCGUAACCUAAAAUGCGAAAGCAACGCAAGGAACCAGUCCAAACCCUGAAUGUCAAAAGUAAGAAAAUCGAGAGGAAAACAUCACGUCUAGUCCAUCGUGGUACUUGCGGUUAUGAAUUUCGUCCACGGGGUUGGUGAGGAGCACCGUAUGAAUAAAGAAGCAAUGGCUUAU